Cucurbita maxima (winter squash) is the source of this 1274-nucleotide long non-coding RNA. RefSeq lists it as uncharacterized. The transcript is spliced from 3 exons. NCBI's taxonomy places the organism in Eukaryota, Viridiplantae, Streptophyta, Magnoliopsida, Cucurbitales, Cucurbitaceae. The record is from RefSeq and is a predicted model, not a curated record.
AUGUCAUGGGCUUGACUAAGAGACGUUUCCCCAGGCAACACUAUGUCCACCUCCACAAAAUAGUUGCAUCCAAAGUAUACUGUGAGGCAUAGUUUCACUACUGUCACAGAUGACAUUAUUCCGACCAUCCAUCUUACUUUCUCUGGAUCUCUAUCUGGUUGAGCCUGCAAUCGAUUCAUAGACAAAUGUAUAGAGAAAUGAAUGGUAUGUUAUUUUGUAUCAAUUUAUAACCAAGCCUGUUUACCUUUGAAAUAAGUUCUCGAGCUGAUUCAAGUAAUAUCUGUAUUCCAAGAGUUGCCAUGACGGAUGCAAACACGACGAUUCCCUGCAUAAAUCUGAAAGGUUAGUCCAUGCUAUUUUGCUUUCUUUUCUGUGUGUUCUAACAUGAUUUGACUUUUUUUCUGCUUGUGAACUUGUUUAUUAAUUGCAUGACAACGUAAAAGAGUUUUUAGCAUUAGUCUUGAAAAAUAUAAGGUGUGUUAUUUCUCCAUAUAGACCAUCCUUCAUUUUCUUAGACUAGCAUUCCCAUUCUUCAUUCAACAGAGACUUGAAUAGCCAAGUUUUGUUGAUAGAGAUAACUUGCCACUGGUUGCAUUUGAUUCUUUCCGAUAGGAUAACGAUACUGAUUUGGCUUUCUCAUAGCAUUAGCUGUAAACCAUAAUAUAAACCCUGAUAAAAGAUCCAACAGGGAAUCUAUUGUUGAAGCUAUAACUGCAAGUGAUCUGCUCUCAACUGAAGCGUAUACUUUUGCGACGAAGAUCACCAUGUUAGCUAUGUUGGAUGCAUAUAUUGCCAGUCUCUCACGGCAAGCAGAACUCGUCCAUGUUCAGUCGCCACGAGGGAAUCUUCGUCACCAUUCCAUCUGUUCCAGCAGCCACACCCUCCGGCGACAAAAGCUCUGUUCUGAAAGAAUCUGUUCUGGGAUUAAUAUCCGUCAUUGUUGUUCUUAACCCGACUAAGAAUCUGGUUAAUAGGAAGAAGUCCUCUGUUACUUGAAACUAGAGAGACCAUUAUAAAGGGGAAGACAAUGGUGCAGUGUUGCUGAGGAAGUUGGAGACGUUGAAUAUAAUAGAGGAAAGUGGAUUCAGUAAACAAGGGCAUGGAAAGGGUCGGAAGGGGUGAUUUGAAGGUUUUGCAUUAAAUAAUUGAAAUACUUGGGGUUUCGGGAAUUGCUUUGUAGGAUUUCACGUGCUUUCUUGCAAGUAUAACAGAAUAAUCGAUGCUUUUUUUCAACUUCGGCAUAUAAUGAUUGUUUUCAAAUCUUUCUGAAGGUU